This 603-nucleotide ribosomal RNA is filed under the name uncultured Pseudomonadaceae bacterium. RNAcentral's name for it is "SSU rRNA". It matches the Rfam family "Bacterial small subunit ribosomal RNA", at positions 153 to 740 of the family's 1533-position model. The record is from RNAcentral. Lineage: Bacteria; Pseudomonadati; Pseudomonadota; Gammaproteobacteria; Pseudomonadales; Pseudomonadaceae.
GAAACGGGCGCUAAUACCGCAUACGUCCUGAGGGAGAAAGUGGGGGAUCUUCGGACCUCACGCUAUCAGAUGAGCCUAGGUCGGAUUAGCUAGUUGGUGGGGUAAAGGCCUACCAAGGCGACGAUCCGUAACUGGUCUGAGAGGAUGAUCAGUCACACUGGAACUGAGACACGGUCCAGACUCCUACGGGCAGGCAGACAGUGGGGCAAUAUUGGGACAAGUGGCGCGAAAAGCCUCGAUCCAACCAUGCCCGCGUGUGUGAAGAAGGUCUUCGCGAUUGUAAAGCACUUAAAGUUGGGAGGAAGGGCAGUAAGUUAAUACCUGGCUGUUGUGACGUUACCAACAGAAUAAGUCACCGGCUUACUUCGUGCCAGCAGCCGCGGUAAUACGAAGGGUGCAAGCGUUAAUCGGAAUUACUGGGCGUAAAGCGCGCGUAGGUGGUUCAGCAAGUUGGAUGUGAAAUCCCCGGGCUCAACCUGGGAACUGCAUCCAAAACUACUGAGCUAGAGUACGGUAGAGGGUGGUGGAAUUUCCUGUGUAGCGGUGAAAUGCGUAGAUAUAGGAAGGAACACCAGUGGCGAAGGCGACCACCUGGACUGAUAC